UGGGGAAUCUUGGACAAUGGGCGCAAGCCUGAUCCAGCCAUACCGCGUGGGUGAAGAAGGCCUUCGGGUUGUAAAGCCCUUUUGUUGGGAAAGAAAAGCAGCCAGUUAAUACCUGGUUGUUCUGACGGUACCCAAAGAAUAAGCACCGGCUAACUUCGUGCCAGCAGCCGCGGUAAUACGAAGGGUGCAAGCGUUACUCGGAAUUACUGGGCGUAAAGCGUGCGUAGGUGGUUGUUUAAGUCUGUUGUGAAAGCCCUGGGCUCAACCUGGGAAUUGCAGUGGAUACUGGGCGACUAGAGUGUGGUAGAGGGUAGUGGAAUUCCUGGUGUAGCAGUGAAAUGCGUAGAGAUCAGGAGGAACAUCCAUGGCGAAGGCAGCUACCUGGACCAACACUGACACUGAGGCACGAAAGCGUGGGGAGCAAACAGGAUUAGAUACCCUUGUAGUCCCUGAGCGGGCUGGCAAGGCGCAU
Molecule: ribosomal RNA, 472 nt
Filed under: uncultured bacterium
Lineage: Bacteria
Description: bacterial SSU rRNA
Rfam family: Bacterial small subunit ribosomal RNA
Source: RNAcentral